AACCGCCCAGUACGGAACCGUAUGCUGGGUGGUGUGGGAGGACAGGUAGGGAAAUAAUCCUUACCUUUCUACCCGAU
This 77-nucleotide unclassified non-coding RNA is filed under the name Salegentibacter salinarum. Lineage: Bacteria; Pseudomonadati; Bacteroidota; Flavobacteriia; Flavobacteriales; Flavobacteriaceae. The record is from RNAcentral.